UGCUCUAGCGGUCCUUUUGCGAUUCUGG
This 28-nucleotide non-coding RNA is filed under the name Mus musculus (house mouse). Lineage: Eukaryota; Metazoa; Chordata; Mammalia; Rodentia; Muridae. The record is from RNAcentral.